Molecule: ribosomal RNA, 193 nt
Filed under: Enterobacter sp. enrichment culture DGGE band BES-CAP-5
Lineage: Bacteria; Pseudomonadati; Pseudomonadota; Gammaproteobacteria; Enterobacterales; Enterobacteriaceae
Description: partial 16S ribosomal RNA
Rfam family: Bacterial small subunit ribosomal RNA
Source: RNAcentral
CUACGGGAGGCAGCAGUGGGGAAUAUUGGACAAUGGGUGCAAGCCUGAUCCAGCCAUCCCGCGUGUAUGAAGAAGGCCUUCGGGUUGUAAAGUACUUUCAGCGGGGAGGAAGGUGUUGUGGUUAAUAACCACAGCAAUUGACGUUACCCGCAGAAGAAGCACCGGCUAACUACGUGCCAGCAGCCGCGGUAAU